This is a non-coding RNA of Prunus avium (sweet cherry), 390 nucleotides long. Lineage: Eukaryota; Viridiplantae; Streptophyta; Magnoliopsida; Rosales; Rosaceae. The record is from RefSeq and is a predicted model, not a curated record.
GAUAUCUCAGAUCCCCCACAUCGCAGAAAACUCAAAAGUCAUGCUCUGUCUUAGCCAAUUUUCAUUGAUUUUUUGUUUCCGUAAUGGGAAGAUUUGUGGGUUCCUUCUAAUAAAUCACGAUUACAUAUGGAAUCACCCGAUUUUUUUGGAUUAUCAGAAACUGUUUCGUCAAUUGAAAUAUCUGUAUCCCAGAGAAAUAUCAGUACUAUGUUUAAUCAUCAACUACAACCUGUUGUAUAGGUAAUUUCUGAAACUGUAACUAUGCUAUAGGUACGUUGUGGUAAAAUCCUAAACAUCAUGUGUUUUGAUUUGUGGCCGUCUGUUAUAGUUGUAGAGUGUUGUAGAGUGUUGUUGAAUGAUUAUUAACAACUUAAGAUUGUGAACGUUGUA